CGUAGGGUGCGAGCGUUGUCCGGAAUUAUUGGGCGUAAAGAGCUCGUAGGCGGUGUGUCGCGUCGGUCGUGAAAACUUGGGGCUUAACCCUGAGCUUGCGGUCGAUACGGGCAUCACUGGAGUUCGGCAGGGGAGACUGGAAUUCCUGGUGUAGCGGUGAAAUGCGUAGAUAUCGGAAGGAACAUCAGUGGCGAAAGCGGCUUCCUGGACCAGAACUGACGAUCAGGCACGAAAGCGUGGGGAGCAAACAGG
This 252-nucleotide ribosomal RNA is filed under the name uncultured bacterium. Its description in RNAcentral is "partial 16S ribosomal RNA". It matches the Rfam family "Bacterial small subunit ribosomal RNA", at positions 526 to 776 of the family's 1533-position model. The record is from RNAcentral.